This 24-nucleotide microRNA is filed under the name Gallid alphaherpesvirus 1. RNAcentral's name for it is "iltv-miR-I1-3p". Its record names the gene iltv-miR-I1-3p. Lineage: Duplodnaviria; Heunggongvirae; Peploviricota; Herviviricetes; Herpesvirales; Orthoherpesviridae. The record is from miRBase by way of RNAcentral.
AAUUCCAUUCCUCUUUCUGUCUCC